GAUGAACGCUGGCGGCGUGCUUAACACAUGCAAGUCGAACGUGAGAGGGUACUUGUAUCCUUGAAAGUGGCGGACGGGUGAGUAAGACGUAGGUGACCUGCCUUGAAGUGGGGGAUAACCAUUGGAAACGAUGGCUAAUACCGCAUAAGCUGGUGAUGAUGGGAAUCGUUAUCAGGAAAGCUUUAGUGCUUUGAGAGGGGCCUACGGCCGAUUAGCUAGUUGGUGAGGUAAAGGCUCACCAAGGCGAUGAUCGGUAGCUGGUCUGAGAGGACGAUCAGCCACACGGGAACUGAGACACGGUCCCGACUCCUACGGGGGGCAGCAGUGAGGAAUAUUCGGCAAUGGGGGCAACCCUGACCGAGCAACGCCGCGUGGAGGAUGACGGUUUUCGGAUUGUAAACUCCUUUUCUCAGGGAAGAGCGAGGACGGUACCUGGGGAAUAAGUCACGGCUAACUACGUG
RNAcentral lists this ribosomal RNA (461 nucleotides) under uncultured bacterium. RNAcentral's name for it is "bacterial SSU rRNA". It matches the Rfam family "Bacterial small subunit ribosomal RNA", at positions 28 to 507 of the family's 1533-position model. The record is from RNAcentral.